AAAUAACAUCAUCAAUUAAAUUAUAGUUUAAUGGCAAGUGCUCCGUUAUAGAUACAUUUUCAUUUUUCUCACUUCACACACUCGCUUCGCCAACAUGUCAAGCCACGCCGUUUGGGUCCUCUUCCUCGUCGCCUUCUCCGUCUGCCCUCUUCCAUCCGUCGGGACCCGCUCGUCGAUCCUCCUCCUGAGUCAAUUCAGCCUUGGCUCUUCGUCCCGCGCUCCUGAUCCCA
RNAcentral lists this long non-coding RNA (230 nucleotides) under Vigna radiata. RNAcentral's name for it is "long non-coding RNA (VRAD_LNC001079)". Lineage: Eukaryota; Viridiplantae; Streptophyta; Magnoliopsida; Fabales; Fabaceae. The record is from RNAcentral.